Molecule: regulatory RNA element, 243 nt
Organism: Enterococcus faecalis V583
Lineage: Bacteria; Bacillati; Bacillota; Bacilli; Lactobacillales; Enterococcaceae
Rfam family: T-box leader
About the family: Uncharged tRNA acts as the effector for transcription antitermination of genes in the T-box leader family.
Source: Rfam
UUACAAUCAAGGCUUAGGACAUAGUAAUUUAGCUCUUCCUUUACAGAGACUUUUUCAUUGGCUGAAAGAAAAAGAUGGAUUCUUCUUUACUCACACCUAAAAGAUGUUUUUCUGAAUCCUUUAGUAAGAAAAACCGGUGACUCUAUCGUUAACAGAGAGUAGUUGUCAACGCAACUACAUAAGGCUUAUCUUGUGAAAGAUAAGUAAAUUGAGGUGGCACCACGAAUGCGAUUCGUCCUCUUG